GACGAACGCUGGCGGCGCGCCUAACACAUGCAAGUCGAACGGAAUCAAGAGGAGCUUGCUUUUCUUGAUUUAGUGGCGAACGGGUGAGUAACGCGUGAGUAACCUGCCCUGGAGUGGGGGACAACAGUUGGAAACGACUGCUAAUACCGCAUAAGCCCACGGUACCGCAUGGCACUGAGGGAAAAGGAUUUAUUCGCUUCAGGAUGGACUCGCGUCCAAUUAGCUAGUUGGUGAGGUAACGGCCCACCAAGGCGACGAUUGGUAGCCGGACUGAGAGGUUGAACGGCCACAUUGGGACUGAGACACGGCCCAGACUCCUACGGGAGGCAGCAGUGGGGGAUAUUGCACAAUGGGGGAAACCCUGAUGCAGCGACGCCGCGUGGAGGAAGAAGGUUUUCGGAUUGUAAACUCCUGUCGUUAGGGACGAUAAUGACGGUACCUAACAAGAAAGCACCGGCUAACUACGUGCCAGCAGCCGCGGUAAAACGUAGGGUGCAAGCGUUGUCCGGAAUUACUGGGUGUAAAGGGAGCGCAGGCGGACCGGCAAGUUGGAAGUGAAAUCCAUGGGCUCAACCCGUGAAUUGCUUUCAAAACUGCUGGCCUUGAGUAGUGCAGAGGUAGGUGGAAUUCCCGGUGUAGCGGUGGAAUGCGUAGAUAUCGGGAGGAACACCAGUGGCGAAGGCGACCUACUGGGCACCAACUGACGCUGAGGCUCGAAAGCAUGGGUAGCAAACAGGAUUAGAUACCCUGGUAGUCCAUGCCGUAAA
RNAcentral lists this ribosomal RNA (767 nucleotides) under uncultured bacterium. RNAcentral describes it as "bacterial SSU rRNA". It matches the Rfam family "Bacterial small subunit ribosomal RNA", at positions 28 to 806 of the family's 1533-position model. The record is from RNAcentral.